This 388-nucleotide ribosomal RNA is filed under the name uncultured eukaryote. RNAcentral describes it as "partial 18S ribosomal RNA". It matches the Rfam family "Eukaryotic small subunit ribosomal RNA", at positions 592 to 976 of the family's 1831-position model. The record is from RNAcentral.
CAAUAGCGUAUAUUAAAGUUGUUGCAGUUAAAAAGCUCGUAGUUGGAAUUCUGGUAGGAGCGACCAUACCGGACUUGAUUGUUCGCGUAAUGCGUUGUCUCCAGCCAUCCUCGUGGAGAUUGUUUUUGGCAUUAACUUGUCGAAUUCGGGACCCGCGUCAUUUACUGUGAAAAAAUUAGAGUGUUUAAAGCAGGCGUUUGCCCAUUUGAAUACAUUAGCAUGGAAUAAUAAGAUAUGACUUUGGUGGUCUAUUUUGUUGGUUUGCACACCAGAGUAAUGAUUAAUAGGGACAGUUGGGGGUAUUCAUAUUUCAACGUCAGAGGUGAAAUUCUUAGAUCGUUGAAAGAUGAGCUUAGGCGAAAGCAUUUACCAUGGAUGUUUUCAUUAA